UCUCCGUAGGUGAACCUGCGGAGGGAUCAUUACUGAGUGAGGGCUCACGCCCGACCUCCAACCCCAUGUGAACCGCAACUGUUGCUUCGGGGGCGACCCUGCCGUUUCGACGGCGAGCGCCCCCGGAGGCUCAUCAAACACUGCAUCUCUGCGUCGGAGUCUUAAUGAAUCUAAACAAAACUUUUAACAACGGAUCUCUUGGUUCUGGCAUCGAUGAAGAACGCAGC
RNAcentral lists this unclassified non-coding RNA (227 nucleotides) under uncultured fungus. RNAcentral describes it as "sequence contains ITS1, 5.8S rRNA gene". The stretch from base 179 to 227 matches the Rfam family "5.8S ribosomal RNA", at positions 1 to 49 of the family's 154-position model. The record is from RNAcentral. Lineage: Eukaryota; Fungi.